UUUUGCAGAGUUGCGGAGCUGUCAAGCGCAUCGGGCACCGUCUAGUUGCUUUAAAAAUGAAUCGCUGCCGGGGUCUUACAAGCACCCACACGACUGUAUGCAGAAAGAGUAAGGUCAUUUUGAAUUUUAAUAACCAAGACAACAUCCCGAGUGCUUGUUUUUUGUGGUGCAUAAUACGUUGCACCACGUAAUAAUGUGUAAUGCUUUGGUAAAAUGUACGAAAUUUAAUUUAAGAAUGUUUGACAGUUUUAUAACUCUCUCUUUAUAAUAUCUCUAGUGUUUUAUACUUUGACAACAGGACAAUGCGACAGAACGCUAAUAGUAUGCACCUUGUUUUCCUGUGAGUUUCUAGACACAUCAUGUAGUGUAUCCACACUCAGAAUAACUGGAGGGAAUCCCCCUCCAGAAACCCUUAACACAUCCAGAUGCUCCACGACACUUCGCUGCAUAGUUAAUUGCCGGUUUACUAAUGAGACAAAUUCUCAACCACGCCUUUUAAUUAAAAAAUAAUCACCGUAGAGGUGCACUUACAAUUACUACCUACCGUAGCAUCCGUCCCGAUGUUGUCUAUCAUAAUACAGAGGCAGGACUUUAAACGUGUGCGCGAGGACCUCUGCUGUUUGCGCGCGUCGGUAGCAUUACUCUCGUUUGAAAUGUUCGGGUGUUCAAAUACGUUUAGAGAGACGUAAUGGAUUAUCGUUAUCACUGAACUUAGGCUUCAUAUUUCAUCCAUCCAUUUUCUGAAAGUACCUUUCUGGUCAUUGAAAACGGUGUAUCCAUUAAUAGGAUCUGCCAUGUUUAAGUUAUAUUUGGAAUAUUUUUUCUUCACAUCUGUUUUUGUCUUUGACGUUAUGCACGACUUAAUGAGUAUUUUCUUGUCAGCUAAAGUAUAGAGUCUUUACUGAGGCGCAAAUUUUGAAAGUAAUAACCCAGCAAACAAUUUUCAGUUCGGCGAACGUUCCGUGAAUGUUGAGCGGUGCGGGAAUGUUCCUAGGAUCACCAUAAGCGAACGUUCCGACAGCGUAAUUCAGGAAAGUUUUCUUAACGUUUCCGGAAGGUUCGUUUUUGAGAAACUGUACCGUUCUCCAAACGUUCGUAGAACAUUCUCCAAAGUUCAAGAAUGGAGUUAUGACUUCCCCCCGCGACCCAGUAGGAUAAGCGGUUUGGAAAAUGGAUGGAUGGAGUUCUGACUUCGCCUUCCAUUAUCCCGGAGGGGUGUAUUCGUCCCCCCUGCUAAUUCAGCGAGGCUCCGUGAGAUUGUCGUCACUGGAAUCCGGAGUGGGCGCAUUAAUGAUGAGUAGCCUCGUGGGCCAAAAGGCUGAUUUUUCGUUGCUGUUUUGCUCUGACUGGAUUUGUGUUUAUGUAUGGGUUGUGUGUUUUUUCUUAACUUUCAUGAUCGAUUGGGGAGGUGCGGGUGGUUCUAACGGGCGGCUAGAGUCAUCCGAUGGUGGGACCGCUUGUGUAUUGAAUGUUUUCUUAUGCCUAUUGUGUGUGUGUGUGUGUG
Brienomyrus brachyistius is the source of this 1504-nucleotide long non-coding RNA. RefSeq lists it as uncharacterized. NCBI's taxonomy places the organism in Eukaryota, Metazoa, Chordata, Actinopteri, Osteoglossiformes, Mormyridae. The record is from RefSeq and is a predicted model, not a curated record. The transcript is spliced from 2 exons.